This is a small nuclear RNA of Cavia aperea (Brazilian guinea pig), 132 nucleotides long. Its record names the gene U2. It matches the Rfam family "U2 spliceosomal RNA". From Rfam's summary of the family: U2 is a small nuclear RNA (snRNA) component of the spliceosome (involved in pre-mRNA splicing). Complementary binding between U2 snRNA (in an area lying towards the 5' end but 3' to hairpin I) and the branchpoint sequence (BPS) of the intron results the bulging out of an unpaired adenosine, on the BPS, which initiates a nucleophilic attack at the intronic 5' splice site, thus starting the first of two transesterification reactions that mediate splicing. The record is from Ensembl. Lineage: Eukaryota; Metazoa; Chordata; Mammalia; Rodentia; Caviidae.
AUCCCUUCUUGGCCUUUUGGUUAAGAUCAUGUGUAGUAUCUGUUCUUAUCAGUAUUUAGAUUUCUACAAUAAAUCUCAGCCAGAGCAAAUUUCCCAGGCUCAAAAAUGCACUUUCAGAAAUUUGAAAGAAUG